AUGCCUACGGGAGGCAGCAGUGGGGGAUAUUGCACAAUGGGGGGAACCCUGAUCCAGCUAUUCCGCGUGUGGGAUGAAGGCCCUCGGGUUGUAAACCACUUUUGUAGAGAACGAAAAGACACCUUCGAAUAAAGGGUGUUGCUGACGGUACUCUAAGAAUAAGCACCGGCUAACUACGUGCCAGCAGCCGCGGUAAUACGUAGGGUGCGAGCGUUAAUCGGAAUUACUGGGCGUAAAGGGUGCGCAGGCGGUUGAGUAAGACAGAAGUGAAAUCCCCGAGCUUAACUCGGGAAUGGCAUA
RNAcentral lists this ribosomal RNA (300 nucleotides) under uncultured bacterium. RNAcentral's name for it is "bacterial SSU rRNA". It matches the Rfam family "Bacterial small subunit ribosomal RNA", at positions 335 to 627 of the family's 1533-position model. The record is from RNAcentral.